This 468-nucleotide ribosomal RNA is filed under the name uncultured bacterium. RNAcentral describes it as "partial 16S ribosomal RNA". It matches the Rfam family "Bacterial small subunit ribosomal RNA", at positions 28 to 507 of the family's 1533-position model. The record is from RNAcentral.
GACGAACGCUGGCGGCGUGCUUAACACAUGCAAGUCGAACGGAAAGGCCCUGCUUUUGUGGGGUGCUCGAGUGGCGAACGGGUGAGUCACACGUGAGUAACCUGCCCUUGACUUUGGGAUAACUUCAGGAAACUGGGGCUAAUACCGGAUAGGAGCUCCUGCUGCAUGGUGGGGGUUGGAAAGUUUCGGCGGUUGGGGAUGGACUCGCGGCUUAUCAGCUUGUUGGUGGGGUAGUGGCUUACCAAGGCUUUGACGGGUAGCCGGCCUGAGAGGGUGACCGGCCACAAUGGGACUGAGAUACGGCCCAGACUCCUACGGGAGGCAGCGGUGGGGAAUAUUGCACAGUGGGCGGAAGCCUGAUGCAGCAACGCCGCGUGCGGGAUGACGGCCUUCGGGUUGUAAACCGCUUUCGCCUGUGACGAAGCGUGAGUGACGGUAAUGGGUAAAGAAGCACCGGCUAACUACGUG